This 76-nucleotide small RNA is filed under the name Pogona vitticeps (central bearded dragon). RNAcentral's name for it is "7SK RNA (ENSPVIG00000006436.1)". It matches the Rfam family "7SK RNA", at positions 14 to 91 of the family's 331-position model. From Rfam's summary of the family: 7SK was discovered as an abundant small nuclear RNA in the mid-70s but a possible function has only recently been suggested. Lineage: Eukaryota; Metazoa; Chordata; Lepidosauria; Squamata; Agamidae. The record is from Rfam by way of RNAcentral.
AUCUGGCUGCGACACCUGUCACCUCGUUGAUCGCCAGGAUUGAUUCGGCUGAUCUGGGGAAGAACAGCUUUGCUUU